This 467-nucleotide ribosomal RNA is filed under the name uncultured bacterium. Its description in RNAcentral is "partial 16S ribosomal RNA". It matches the Rfam family "Bacterial small subunit ribosomal RNA", at positions 28 to 507 of the family's 1533-position model. The record is from RNAcentral.
GAUGAACGCUGACAGAAUGCUUAACACAUGCAAGUCAACUUGAAUUUGGGUUUUUAACUUAGGUUUGGGUGGCGGACGGGUGAGUAACGCGUAAAGAACUUGCCUCACAGCUAGGGACAACAUUUGGAAACGAAUGCUAAUACCUAAUAUUAUGAUAAUAGGGCAUCCUAUAAUUAUGAAAGCUAUAAGCGCUGUGAGAGAGCUUUGCGUCCCAUUAGCUAGUUGGAGAGGUAACGGCUCAUCAAGGCGAUGAUGGGUAGCCGGCCUGAGAGGGUGAUCGGCCACAAGGGGACUGAGACACGGCCCUUACUCCUACGGGAGGCAGCAGUGGGGAAUAUUGGACAAUGGACCAAGAGUCUGAUCCAGCAAUUCUGUGUGCACGAUGAAGUUUUUCGGAAUGUAAAGUGCUUUCAGUUGGGAAGAAAGAAAUGACGGUACCAACAGAAGAAGUGACGGCUAAAUACGUG